UAAUUAGGAAAAAGAAGAGGGGAAAAAACAUAUAUAGUUAUUCAUAUUACACAUGAACAUGUAUACUUGUGUAAAGUGUAUAUACAUUAAUCAUAACUCAAAAAUCAGUGUAUAAAAUUACUAUUCUAUACUAAUAUACUAUUCUAAAUUACUAAGUCUAUUCUAAAAGUUUUAUGUUUUUAAAUUGUUUUAAUAUAAUGUAUACAUAAACAUGUCUGUGAUAUAUUGUUUGCAGAUUAUUUUAUUAAGAUUUAGUAGGCUUACUAUAGACAGUGAACGUUAGCAGCUUGAUUUUACAAACUGAUAGUUUGUAGACGGUCCCUCAAAAAAGCGAUGACGUCACCUCCUUCAUAGAGUAGUGCGGGAAGCUGAUGGCGCUGAACACCUGGCCGAACAUGUGGAAGGCAUUGAAAAUGUUAGGGAUACACACCGCCACCAACAAGCGCUUCUGAAACGCCCCAAAUUCGCCGACGGCCGAGAGAAUCUCCGUGAAGUCGAUCAUGAUCUUCUGGUGACCAUCAGAAGCGACGGCGCGCUUUUAAACGGAGGAAAAUUAAUUUUUAAUCUUGUCACAGGUCCAAUAGUGUCUGGCAUUAUCUGCGCAGGCGAGCAGGUAAGAUAAAACGUUAAAAGAAACUGCAGGAAGGACAAUAUAAAAGUAUUUUUCUAUUUGAAUAUUACACAAUGUUUCAUCCUAUCCAAUGUAUGUAUUUGGAGUGAGGCUGUUUCUAACGAUUGAAUGUAACGAGGAAUGUCUGCAGUGUUUAUUUACAUUGUGUGUGUGUGUGUGUGUGUGUGUGAAUGAUGAACCCAAUACAGGCCUUUCUUUUUUUGCCAAUGAAGGCGGUCUUAAUAGUGUGGUAAUGAAGAUGUUUGCGAGGCCAAACACAAUAUUUAUACUAUGUACUGUAGUUACGUGACUAAUUGGAAAAACAAGAAACAAAAAUGUAGCAAAAAAAAGAAGAAAAUAGGAAAAAGGCACAUUAGGAUUAGAUUCAGUUACUAAACGGUUCACAAUGAGUUUUAAACACACAAAAAUGUGGGCAAAGGAAUAUCAAUAGUUUGAAAAACGUUUAUUACUAUUAUUAUGGAUAACUAUUAGUGAUUAUUAAAUAUCAACUUCUGGUUGAAUAUUGAAUCAAGAAUAUUUAAUGCAAAUGUUUCAAAUAACUCUUGUGAAACUAAAAACUCAAAACAUCAGAACAAUAAUGUCCCAUUGUCAUUCAACGUAACAGAUAUUUGAAAACGAAUUAAUAUACCGAUAUAUUAAUAUAACUUUACCGCAUAUCUUUGGACUGUGGGGGAAACCGGUGCAUCUGAAGGAAACCCACGCAAACGCAGGGAGAACAUGCAAACUCCACACAGAAACGCCAGCUGAUCCGGCCGAGGCUCGACCCAGCGACCUUCUUGCUGUGAGGUGACAGCACUACCUACUGCGCCACUGCGUCGCCCUAUUAGUAAUCAUAAUGAACGGUGUUAUAUUGGAAAUAAUUCUGCUUUACAUAAGCGAAUCCAUGGUGGCAAAAUAUAUCCAUUAAAAAUUACAAUUAAUUAGUAUUUUGGGGCUGUGAAGUGAUGCUUAAAUAAUCUUACCAAAUGUUUAUUGUGCUAAAUAUUUUUAUAUAUAAACAAAACAACAUUUUAAUGAAUGACUUCAGUAAAUCACCGUCCACGUAUAAUAUUGAAUAAUUUAUUGCUUUACUUUUUUAAAUGUAACAAUCCAAAAAAAAAAGAAAAAAAAGAAACUUAAAUCUUUAUUAGAUUUUGUGUAAUCACAACAUGUAAAUACAGUAAUAUAUACUGUAGUUAAAAAAAAAGAGACAUUUUAAGCACCUUUUAAAUGAAUUCUUUAUUGAUUUUAAGGCAUCUGAAAACAUGCCUUAAAUUCAAAACCAGGAAAAUAAAAUAAAAUUAGCUUUCAUUUAUUUAUUUUUAUUGCUUGCAGUAAACUGAAAGACUACUGCAACACUGUUUCACUUUAAGAAGUUUGGCAAGGACCUAUAGUGUGACUAUAAAUUAUAUAUAUAUUUUAUGAAAAUAAUAUGUAUUGUUGUUCUUAUAUAUAAUAACGUUGACCACAGAUCUGCAUCAUACUUUCACUUUCCAAAAGUCCUUAUUCAAAGCAAAACUCGCCUCUCCAAUGCAGGCAACUUUAUUAACAGUUUCCUAUUUUUUCGUGGACAGCAGUGUUGUGAUUGCAAAGAAAUGAAAAUGGAAAAAAAGACUUGUGCGUUAUUAAAGCUUUCUUUACAUCA
This is a non-coding RNA of Danio rerio (zebrafish), 2255 nucleotides long. NCBI's taxonomy places the organism in Eukaryota, Metazoa, Chordata, Actinopteri, Cypriniformes, Danionidae. The record is from RefSeq and is a predicted model, not a curated record.